GACGAACGCUGGCGGCGUGCUUAACACAUGCAAGUCGAACGGUAAGGCCCUGCCUGUGGUGGGUGCUCGAGGGGCGAGCGGGUGAGUAACACGUGAGUAACCUGCCCUUGACGGUGGGAUAACUGCAGGAAACUGGGGUUAUUACCAGAUAGGAGUUCCGCCUGCAGGGGGGGGGUUGGAAAGUUUCGGCGGUUGGGGAUGCGCUGGCGGCUUGUCAGCUUGUUGGUGGGGUAGUGGCUUACCAAGGCUUUGGCGGGUGGCCGGCCUGGGAGGGUGACCGGCCACAUUGGGCCUGGGAUCCGGCCCAGACUCCUCCGGGAGGCAGCAGUGGGGAUUAUUGCACAAUGGGCGGAGGCCGGAUGAAGCAACGCCGCGUGCGGGAUGACGGCCUUCGGGUUGUAAACCGCUUUAGCCUGUGACGAAGCGUGAGUGACGGUAAUGGGUAAAGAAGCACCGGCUAACUACGUG
This 468-nucleotide ribosomal RNA is filed under the name uncultured bacterium. RNAcentral describes it as "partial 16S ribosomal RNA". It matches the Rfam family "Bacterial small subunit ribosomal RNA", at positions 28 to 507 of the family's 1533-position model. The record is from RNAcentral.